Molecule: ribosomal RNA, 518 nt
Filed under: uncultured bacterium
Lineage: Bacteria
Description: bacterial SSU rRNA
Rfam family: Bacterial small subunit ribosomal RNA
Source: RNAcentral
AGAGUUUGAUUAUGGCUCAGGAUGAACGCUAGCGGCAGGCUUAACACAUGCAAGUCGAGGGGCAGCGCGGGGUAGCAAUACCCUGGCGGCGACCGGCGCACGGGUGCGUAACGCGUAUGCAACCUACCUGUGACGAGGGGAUAACGGUGCGAAAGCGCCACUAAUACCCCAUAUUGACGGGGUCCCGCAGUGGGGUUCCGAACGAAAGCUUUCUGUGGUCACGGAGUGGGCAUGCGUGGCAUUAGGUAGUUGGCGGGUAACGGCCCACCAGCCGACGAUGCCUAGGGGGCUGAGAGGCCUGACCCCCACACUGGUACUGAGACACGGACCAGACUCCUACGGGAGGCAGCAGUGAGGAAUAUUGGUCAAUGGGCGGAAGCCUGAACCAGCCAUGCCGCGUGAGGGAUGGAGGCCCUAUGGGUUGUAAACCUCUUUUAGCCGGGAGUAAUAAGGGCGGUGCGCCGUCCGAUGAGAGUACCGGCGGAAUAAGCAUCGGCUAACUCCGUGCCAGCAGCGGC